RNAcentral lists this ribosomal RNA (396 nucleotides) under Triticum aestivum (bread wheat). RNAcentral's name for it is "partial small subunit ribosomal RNA". The record is from RNAcentral. Lineage: Eukaryota; Viridiplantae; Streptophyta; Magnoliopsida; Poales; Poaceae.
AUGCCACGUGCUGAUGGUCCCUUUAAGGUGUUAGAGAAAAUAAAUGAUAAUGCAUAUAAACUUGAGCUGCCUGCAGAUUUUGGGGUUAGUCCCACUUUUAACAUUGCAGAUUUGAAGCCUUAUUUGGGUGAGGAAGAUGAACUUCCGUCGAGGACGACUUUAUUUCAAGAAGGGGAGGAUGAUGAGGACAUCAAUACAAUUGUUACACCCACAGCCCCUGCUACUAUAAAUACUGGACCAAUUACUAGAGCUCGCGCACGCCAACUAAAUUACCAGGUACUUUCGUUUCUUGGUAAUGAUUCUAAUGUUCAUGAGAAUAUGAUGCUGCCUAAAUUAGAUACAUUUGUUUUGCUUACAAAUGAAGGGCCUAGCUUGGAGAAGGAUGAACAUUGGAUU